GAUGAACGCUGGCGGCGUGCCUAAUACAUGCAAGUCGAGCGAACGGACGAGAAGCUUGCUUUUCUGAUGUUAGCGGCGGACGGGUGAGUAACACGUGGAUAACCUACCUAUAAGACUGGGAUAACUUCGGGAAACCGGAGCUAAUACCGGAUAAUAUUUUGAACCGCAUGGUUCAAAAGUGAAAGACGGUCUUGCUGUCACUUAUAGAUGGAUCCGCGCUGCAUUAGCUAGUUGGUAAGGUAACGGCUUACCAAGGCAACGAUGCAUAGCCGACCUGAGAGGGUGAUCGGCCACACUGGAACUGAGACACGGUCCAGACUCCUACGGGAGGCAGCAGUAGGGAAUCUUCCGCAAUGGGCGAAAGCCUGACGGAGCAACGCCGCGUGAGUGAUGAAGGUCUUCGGAUCGUAAAACUCUGUUAUUAGGGAAGAACAUAUGUGUAAGUAACUGUGCACAUCUUGACGGUACCUAAUCAGAAAGCCACGGCUAACUACGUGCCGGCAGCCGCGGUAAUACGUAGGUGGCAAGCGUUAUCCGGAAUUAUUGGGCGUAAAGCGCGCGUAGGCGGUUUUUUAAGUCUGAUGUGAAAGCCCACGGCUCAACCGUGGAGGGUCAUUGGAAACUGGAAAACUUGAGUGCAGAAGAGGAAAGUGGAAUUCCAUGUGUAGCGGUGAAAUGCGCAGAGAUAUGGAGGAACACCAGUGGCGAAGGCGACUUUCUGGUCUGUAACUGACGCUGAUGUGCGAAAGCGUGGGGAUCAAACAGGAUUAGAUACCCUGGUAGUCCACGCCGUAAACGAUGAGUGCUAAGUGUUAGGGGGUUUCCGCCCCUUAGUGCUGCAGCUAACGCAUUAAGCACUCCGCCUGGGGAGUACGACCGCAAGGUUGAAACUCAAAGGAAUUGACGGGGACCCGCACAAGCGGUGGAGCAUGUGGUUUAAUUCGAAGCAACGCGAAGAACCUUACCAAAUCUUGACAUCCUUUGACAACUCUAGAGAUAGAGCCUUCCCCUUCGGGGGACAAAGUGACAGGUGGUGCAUGGUUGUCGUCAGCUCGUGUCGUGAGAUGUUGGGUUAAGUCCCGCAACGAGCGCAACCCUUAAGCUUAGUUGCCAUCAUUAAGUUGGGCACUCUAAGUUGACUGCCGGUGACAAACCGGAGGAAGGUGGGGAUGACGUCAAAUCAUCAUGCCCCUUAUGAUUUGGGCUACACACGUGCUACAAUGGACAAUACAAAGGGCAGCGAAACCGCGAGGUCAAGCAAAUCCCAUAAAGUUGUUCUCAGUUCGGAUUGUAGUCUGCAACUCGACUACAUGAAGCUGGAAUCGCUAGUAAUCGUAGAUCAGCAUGCUACGGUGAAUACGUUCCCGGGUCU
This 1372-nucleotide ribosomal RNA is filed under the name uncultured bacterium. RNAcentral's name for it is "bacterial SSU rRNA". It matches the Rfam family "Bacterial small subunit ribosomal RNA", at positions 28 to 1381 of the family's 1533-position model. The record is from RNAcentral.